Molecule: ribosomal RNA, 484 nt
Filed under: uncultured bacterium
Lineage: Bacteria
Description: partial 16S ribosomal RNA
Rfam family: Bacterial small subunit ribosomal RNA
Source: RNAcentral
AGUGAACGCUGGCGGCAGGCCUAACACAUGCAAGUCGAGCGGCAGCGGGUCCUUCGGGAUGCCGGCGAGCGGCGGACGGGUGAGGAAUGCGUCGGAAUCUGCCUUUCUGUGGGGGAUAACGUAGGGAAACUUACGCUAAUACCGCAUACGACCUACGGGUGAAAGUGGGGGACCGCAAGGCCUUACGACGAAAGAUGAGCCGACGUCGGAUUAGCUAGUUGGCGGGGUAAAGGCCCACCAAGGCGACGAUCCGUAGCUGGUCUGAGAGGAUGAUCAGCCACACUGGAACUGAGACACGGUCCAGACUCCUACGGGAGGCAGCAGUGGGGAAUAUUGGACAAUGGGCGCAAGCCUGAUCCAGCCAUGCCGCGUGUGUGAAGAAGGCCUUCGGGUUGUAAAGCACUUUUGUCCGGAAAGAAAUCCUGUCGGCUAAUACCCGGCGGGGAUGACGGUACCGGAAGAAUAAGCACCGGCUAACUUCGUG